Long non-coding RNA from Cynoglossus semilaevis (tongue sole), 1099 nucleotides. RefSeq lists it as uncharacterized. The record is from RefSeq and is a predicted model, not a curated record. Lineage: Eukaryota; Metazoa; Chordata; Actinopteri; Pleuronectiformes; Cynoglossidae. The transcript has 4 exons.
UGACGCUAAUGCACCAGUCAGUUCUUUAACGAACUCUGAGAAAAAGUAUAAAGUUUUUAAAAACAAAAAAAUAAAAAUAAAAUGUUUGUAGGUACAAUCGGGCUGGAUCAACUACAGCUUUUUUUGUACUGUACUUGGAUCUGGUUAAUAUAAAAUAAUAUUUAAAAAUUAAAUAUAAAAUGUGAGUCAGGUCAAUAGUUAAUGGACCCCGGGCCUCAAAGUCAAAAAGUUUAAGAACUUAAGUGUAAUAACUUCUGGUAGUUUGUUUCUCUGUGAGCCUUGACACUCACAACAGAGAAGGUGAAGAUGACAUGGUCCACCAGGUGGCAGCAUUACAAUUACAGGAUGCCAUAAACACUUAACAAAGUUGAAGAAGAAUCAAUAGGGCUGUCUGUCCUGAUUGCCUGCUAAUGGCGCCCAGUUGCUGCUAUGCUAACCUUUAUAUCGCUACACCUGCUGUGCUUAAACAGGUAGAUAAGGAAUUAAAGCUGUUUUUAUUUUAUUUUAUUUUUAUUUUUUAAUGGUUCCUUCUGAAGAGUCCUCGAACAGACACAACUGAGAGAAACUGAGAGGCUGCUCUCCCCUCUCUCUCUCUCCUCCCCCUCGUGGACUGAAGCCAGCUGUUUCUGCAGAGCAGCUUCCAGAUGAUGACGGCGAGGGAACAGCAGCGCCGCCCCCACAAAACGGUGUCAGUGGAGGUUCCAGUUUCAGGUCAAGACGCCCAGCGUACGUCGGACCAGCCUGACCAACGCAGAGCAGGAACUUCAUUAUGGAGGAGCAGGAAAGAGAACACGACGAAGAUGAUCACAGAUGAAAACCCUCUGUCCAAAUCAGGAUCUGUAAAUGUAAGUUUACUCUUUUUUUACUUUCCUUUCAAACUAAUGCAUAUUGUACAUAUGUAAGUAGUAACUGUUGUCAUCAUCUGCUGUUUUCUCCUUUAUUCAUCACUCUGACUCUUACCUGUUUGUACAACCUGUUUGAAUAACUGCAGCUACAUCUGAGGUUGUAGAGACUUCAAACCUAAACUGAUGGCUUCCCUUAAUGUCCCUUAAAAACAUCUGUUGUGGGAAAUAAUCAGUGUGACCACAGGGCCUCCGUA